GCCCUAGCGGCGAACGGGUGAGUAACACGUGGGCAACCUGCCCUCAGCUCUGGGAUAACUCCAAGAAAUUGGUGCUAAUACCGGAUGUGACCGCUGACCGCAUGGUCUGGUGGUGGAAAGAUUCAUCGGCUGAGGAUGGGCCCGCGGCCUAUCAGCUUGUUGGUGGGGUAAUGGCCUACCAAGGCGACGACGGGUAGCCGGCCUGAGAGGGUGACCGGCCACACUGGGACUGAGACACGGCCCAGACUCCUACGGGAGGCAGCAGUGGGGAAUAUUGCGCAAUGGGCGAAAGCCUGACGCAGCGACGCCGCGUGAGGGAUGACGGCCUUCGGGUUGUAAACCUCUUUCAGUAGGGACGAAGCGCAAGUGACGGUACCUACAGAAGAAGCACCGGCCAACUACGUGCCAGCAGCCGCGGUAAUACGUAGGGUGCAAGCGUUGUCCGGAAUUAUUGGGCGUAAAGAGCUCGUAGGCGGUCUGUCACGUCGGCUGUGAAAACCCGAGGCUCAACCUCGGGCCUG
RNAcentral lists this ribosomal RNA (521 nucleotides) under Modestobacter sp. BC496. RNAcentral describes it as "bacterial SSU rRNA". It matches the Rfam family "Bacterial small subunit ribosomal RNA", at positions 89 to 623 of the family's 1533-position model. Lineage: Bacteria; Bacillati; Actinomycetota; Actinomycetes; Geodermatophilales; Geodermatophilaceae. The record is from RNAcentral.